RNAcentral lists this ribosomal RNA (479 nucleotides) under uncultured bacterium. RNAcentral describes it as "SSU rRNA". It matches the Rfam family "Bacterial small subunit ribosomal RNA", at positions 26 to 518 of the family's 1533-position model. The record is from RNAcentral.
AGGACGAACGCUGGCGGCGUGCUUAACACAUGCAAGUCGAGCGAGGCCCUUCCUUCGGGAAGGUGCCCUAGCGGCGAACGGGUGAGUAACACGUGGGCAACCUGCCCCUAGCACUGGGAUAACUCCGGGAAACCGGGGCUAAUACCGGAUAUUACCUUCUUGGGCAUCCUCGAAGGUGUAAAGGAUUCUGGCUAGGGAUGGGCCCGCGGCCUAUCAGCUUGUUGGUGGGGUAACAGCCUACCAAGGCGACGACGGGUAGCCGGCCUGAGAGGGUGACCGGCCACACUGGGACUGAGACACGGCCCAGACUCCUACGGGAGGCAGCAGUGGGGAAUCUUGCACAAUGGGCGAAAAGCCUGAUGCAGCGACGCCGCGUGAGGGAUGACUGCCUUCGGGUUGUAAACCUCUUUCAGCAGGACGAAGCGAAAGUGACGGUACCUGCAGAAGAAGCACCGGCCAACUAACGUGCCAGCAGCCGC